UGGGGAAUAUUGGACAAUGGGCGCAAGCCUGAUCCAGCCAUGCCGCGUGAGUGAAGAAGGCCUUCGGGUUGUAAAGCUCUUUUGGCGGGGACGAUGAUGACGGUACCCGCAGAAUAAGCCCCGGCUAACUUCGUGCCAGCAGCCGCGGUAAGACGAAGGGGGCGAGCGUUGUUCGGAAUCACUGGGCGUAAAGGGCGCGUAGGCGGCGCAGUCAGUCAGGCGUGAAAGCCCCGAGCUCAACUUGGGAAUAGCGCUUGAUACUAUUGUGCUAGAGAGCGGGAGAGGAUGGUGGAAUUCCCAGUGUAGAGGUGAAAUUCGUAGAUAUUGGGAAGAACACCGGUGGCGAAGGCGGCCAUCUGGACCGUUUCUGACGCUGAGGCGCGAAAGCGUGGGGAGCAAACAGG
This 404-nucleotide ribosomal RNA is filed under the name uncultured bacterium. RNAcentral's name for it is "bacterial SSU rRNA". It matches the Rfam family "Bacterial small subunit ribosomal RNA", at positions 355 to 776 of the family's 1533-position model. The record is from RNAcentral.